GCUUCCUUGGUGUAGUCGGUUAUCACGUCGGUCUCAUAGCUUCAAGUUUAUGACUGCUCUCAGUAGUAGAAAUCCGAAGGCCGCCAGUUCGAAUCUGGCAGGGAGCA
Karstenula rhodostoma CBS 690.94 is the source of this 107-nucleotide non-coding RNA. The record is from the annotation of a GenBank genome assembly. Lineage: Eukaryota; Fungi; Ascomycota; Dothideomycetes; Pleosporales; Didymosphaeriaceae.